RNAcentral lists this ribosomal RNA (253 nucleotides) under uncultured bacterium. Its description in RNAcentral is "partial 16S ribosomal RNA". It matches the Rfam family "Bacterial small subunit ribosomal RNA", at positions 524 to 776 of the family's 1533-position model. The record is from RNAcentral.
UACGGAGGAUCCAAGCGUUAUCCGGAAUCAUUGGGUUUAAAGGGUCCGUAGGCGGUUUAAUAAGUCAGUGGUGAAAGCCCAUCGCUCAACGGUGGAACGGCCAUUGAUACUGUUAAACUUGAAUUAUUAGGAAGUAACUAGAAUAUGUAGUGUAGCGGUGAAAUGCUUAGAGAUUACAUGGAAUGCCAAUUGCGGAGGCAGGUUACUACUAAUGGAUUGACGCUGAUGGACGAAAGCGUGGGUAGCGAACAGG